AGAAUCAACGCUGGCGGCGUGCCUAACACAUGCAAGUCGAACGAGAAAGUGGAGCAAUCCAUGAGUAAAGUGGCGACCGGGUGAGUAACACGUGACUAACCUACCCUAGAGUGGGGAAUAACCUCGGGAAACCGGGGCUAAUACCGCAUAACAUCGCAGAGGGAAGCUCUUUGCGAUCAAAGGAGCAAUUCGCUCAAGGAGGGGGUCGCGGCUGAUUAGUUAGUUGGUGAGGUAAUGGCUCACCAAGACUUAGAUCAGUAUCCGGCCUGAGAGGGCGCACGGACACACUGGAACUGAAACACGGUCCAGACUCCUACGGAGGCAGCAGUGGGGAAUUUUGCGCAAUGGGGGAAACCCUGACGCAGCAACGCCGCGUGGAGGAUGAAGUCCCUUGGGAUGUAAACUCCUUUCGAUCGGGACGAUUAUGACGGUACCGGAAGAAGAAGCACCGGCUAACUCUGCGCCAGCAGCCGCGGUAA
Molecule: ribosomal RNA, 479 nt
Filed under: uncultured bacterium
Lineage: Bacteria
Description: SSU rRNA
Rfam family: Bacterial small subunit ribosomal RNA
Source: RNAcentral